This 96-nucleotide transfer RNA is filed under the name Tautonia plasticadhaerens. RNAcentral's name for it is "Planctomycetes bacterium ElP tRNA-Glu". The record is from RNAcentral. Lineage: Bacteria; Pseudomonadati; Planctomycetota; Planctomycetia; Isosphaerales; Isosphaeraceae.
CGGGGGCCCGGGGGGGGCGGGGACCUCCAGGUCGAUCUCGCCGGCCCCGUCCCGGUCGCCGACCGGGAAGCCGGCGGUUGGGGCCGCCGCCGGCGA